This is a long non-coding RNA of Zea mays, 504 nucleotides long. RefSeq lists it as uncharacterized. NCBI's taxonomy places the organism in Eukaryota, Viridiplantae, Streptophyta, Magnoliopsida, Poales, Poaceae. The transcript is spliced from 3 exons. The record is from RefSeq and is marked validated.
AUUGACAGCAAGUCCGGAGAGAGUAGCUGGGUGGAGAUAUCGCCACGUCUCAAGUCUCGGGGGCGAAUUCAGGAGCUUUGGUCGCGUUGAAGGGUCUCGCGCGAGGUGUUGCCGUGUAUGGUGGGUGCUCGGCUGGUCGGGAACUCGCCGCCGUCGUGGGAUCUCCGUGUCCGGCCACUGCGGGUCGUGCCGGCUCACCCACCAUCUCCUCGGUCGUCGACGAGCCAGUGACCAAGGAUCUAGGUGUUUAGCAGGUUUGCUGAGCAGGAGCUCAUUGAAGGAGAAGAAAAGGUGGUCCAGGAGGAGCCAUACAAUAAGGAGUACGAGUUGAUCUAGGUGGCGUCUCCUAGUCAGCUUUGUGGCGCUAAAGAAUAAUACUUAGUUCGCUUUAUUAUUAUCAUUUAUUUUUAUAAGACUUCCGCUAUGUAAUAAUGACAUUUAUGAUAUUGUGACAAUCAUCUCUAUACACUUUGUCAUUAUAUGUGAUGUUCUUUUUUUGGCGCA